UCAUAUGGUCAUUGUCACGAAUUUUAAGUUUAUUGGUGUCACUAGCUGGCAAAUAGUGUUGCACAAUGCAUGGCUUAAAGUGUUGACUUUUUCCAGGUAGCACGUACUAUGCCAAGCCUGUACCAAGAUUUCGCACUAGGUCAACAAUAAGCAACAAGCAAGCCACUUGGUAUCGCGAGUGGCAGUUCAGCAUACAUCAAUUGGUAUUGCUUAAUACUAUGUGGAAAGGGUUUUGUAGUACUUUUUCUGUUUCUUUUGAUUUUUCAGCAUACAAUGGCACAAAUGUGGGACAGGGCACAUGCCUUGCAGCAUUCAUAAAUCCUUG
Molecule: long non-coding RNA, 325 nt
Filed under: Phoenix dactylifera (date palm)
Lineage: Eukaryota; Viridiplantae; Streptophyta; Magnoliopsida; Arecales; Arecaceae
Description: long non-coding RNA (PDAC_LNC013320)
Source: RNAcentral